GCCGAGGUGGCAGAGCGGCCAAAUGCGACAGAUUCGAAAUCUGUUAUUCCCUUGGAAUGCGCGGGUUCAAAUCCCUCCCUCGGCG
Molecule: transfer RNA, 85 nt
Filed under: Candidatus Methanoperedentaceae archaeon HGW-Methanoperedenaceae-1
Lineage: Archaea; Methanobacteriati; Methanobacteriota; Methanomicrobia; Methanosarcinales; Candidatus Methanoperedentaceae
Also listed under: 2 other names
Description: Candidatus Methanoperedenaceae archaeon HGW-Methanoperedenaceae-1 tRNA-Ser
Rfam family: tRNA
About the family: Transfer RNA (tRNA) molecules are approximately 80 nucleotides in length. Their secondary structure includes four short double-helical elements and three loops (D, anti-codon, and T loops).
Source: RNAcentral